Molecule: small nuclear RNA, 102 nt
Organism: Perognathus longimembris pacificus (Pacific pocket mouse)
Lineage: Eukaryota; Metazoa; Chordata; Mammalia; Rodentia; Heteromyidae
Source: RefSeq, a predicted model, not a curated record
GUGCUCGCUUCAGCAGCACGUAUACUAAACUUGGAAUGAUACAGAGAAGAUUAGCAUGGCCUGUGCAAGGAUAUGCAAAUUCAUGAAGCGUUACCUAUAUUU